CUGUAGAGUGGUGCUUGAGCUUGGUUCUCCAACCUCGCUCAACUCUAUCAUUCUCCCAUUGUCUCCGCUAAGAAUGUGUUCCUUCUCAAGGAACACUGCUCUCUUAGCUACAAAGACCUUUUGGUCCUCGAGAUGAUAGAAAUAAUACCCACAAGUUUCCUUGGGGUAUCCCACAAAUUUGCAUCGCUUUGUCCUUGAUUCUAAC
This 205-nucleotide long non-coding RNA is filed under the name Musa acuminata (dwarf banana). RNAcentral's name for it is "long non-coding RNA (MACU_LNC010439)". The record is from RNAcentral. Lineage: Eukaryota; Viridiplantae; Streptophyta; Magnoliopsida; Zingiberales; Musaceae.